ACGGAAGGCAGCAGUGGGGAAUAUUGCACAAUGGGGGGAACCCUGAUGUAGCAACGCCGCGUGAGUGAUGAAGUAUUUCGGUAUGUAAAGCUCUAUCAGCAGGGAAGAAAAUGACGGUACCUGACUAAGAAGCCCCGGCUAACUACGUGCCAGCAGCCGCGGUAAUACGUAGGGGGCAAGCGUUGUCCGGAAUGAUUGGGCGUAAAGGGCGCGUAGGCGGCCUGAUAAGUCUGAAGUGAAAGUCCUGGCUUCAAGUUGGGAAUUGCUUUGGAUACUGUCGGGCUUGAGUGCAGGAGAGGUAAGUGGAAUUCCCAGUGUAGCGGUGAAAUGCGUAGAGAUUGGGAGGAACACCAGUGGCGAAGGCGACUUACUGGACUGUAACUGACGCUGAGGCGCGAAAGUGUGGGGAGCAAACAGGAUUAGAUACCCUGGUA
This 434-nucleotide ribosomal RNA is filed under the name uncultured bacterium. Its description in RNAcentral is "partial 16S ribosomal RNA". It matches the Rfam family "Bacterial small subunit ribosomal RNA", at positions 341 to 792 of the family's 1533-position model. The record is from RNAcentral.